RNAcentral lists this long non-coding RNA (3175 nucleotides) under Nicotiana benthamiana. RNAcentral describes it as "long non-coding RNA (NBEN_LNC037591)". Lineage: Eukaryota; Viridiplantae; Streptophyta; Magnoliopsida; Solanales; Solanaceae. The record is from RNAcentral.
UGGGCCGCAAUUCACAUCAAGAGAGCCCUCCCGUCCUGGCGAUCAUCUUCAAUGACGAGAACCAUCGACAACCCCUCCUCCAGCAAGCUUUUUCUUUUGGAGACAAAAAUCCAAAACAGACUUUGGUUUAGAAUUUUACGAUGGUUUGAAAUAUCAGAAAAUUAAAAAAUAUAUAUUGCGUCUUCUUCUUCCUUAGAUUGAUUUUGAGCAUUUGGUUUUCAAAUGGAGUUCGAUUACAGUGAGUUUGUCGUUCGAUUUGUCGAGGUCGAGUUUUCUGGUGCGGUUUUCGAUUGACUUGUUUGUUCAAGGUUGCGAUAUUGGUAAAUAAGCCUAGUAUGUAGCUCGUUCGAAGGUUUUAAUGUCUUCGAGCUUUAGUUUCAUUGUAUUUGCUCCAGAAUUCAAUGAUAGAAGGUCAGUUCUUCCAUUUUCGUUCUUCUUCUGUUGCUUUGUUUCCAUGACAAAUCAUGUCAAGCUAUCAAUGUUCUAACCUAAAAUAUAUUUGUUUUUCUGGAAAAGCUUAAGUAAAAUUUGAACUCCGUGUAUAUGUUUUGAUAUGAUGUGGCUUUGGAGUUGUAUUUGCGUUUCAGUUUCAUCUCCAUUAUACUGUUUCAAGCUCUUGAGUUUAAAAAUGGCAAUUGAAAUUGUUAUUUGAUUCCGUGGUGCUGCUGAUAGAAGGGUGUUGGAAAUUUUGGUUUCUUAUGUCAUAAAAGUGCAAUUGAUUUAUAUAACUUUGGCAUGUGACUUAUUAUGUGUUUAUCAUUUAUUUUGCUUGGGAUGUUGGCUAACUUUUUGUUAUUUGCCAAGGUGCUUACUGUUAUUUGAGUUCUAGUUAGUAUUAAAAGUCUAAAAACCAAUAGUUUGGUCAGUGAUGAAGCAAUGAGAGAUUUCAAAAGGUUAUUUGGAUCAAAUGUAUAUCUCACUCAUCUUAUAUAGUAAUAUCAAUUGGUGAUCUACGCUUUUGUUCUAUGAGCACUUACACCCAACUUGAGUAUAUUUGUUUUAAUCAAAAGUUUUACAAUUGUUGCGCAUAUAUUGUGGUUCAUUUCAUUUUUCUACUUGAGCUUGAGUGAUAAAUUCCCUUUGCUUUGAAGUUAAUUUGUUUUUUUUUUGUUUUGGUUGGUUUUGUUUUCCACUGAUUUCUCCCUUACCAUAGCUUAUUUAGUUUAAAAUUACAACUUAAAAGUACUGUGUUGUGUUUAGAACUUGAAAGAAGAUUUGAAUUCGGGCCAUGGGGUGGUUGGUUUAAGAGUGGAUUUGGGACUUUGGUAAAUAAAGAAAAGGAAGCUCAAAACGAAUUAUGUUAAUUUGUGUUGUUUCUAUUUUAAUUAUUCAGAUUGUUAGAAGCAUACUUAGGAAAUAAUCAAUCAUGAACAUUCGUAGUUUGUUAUAGUUGAGUAUAAUCAUCUGAAAUUAGAAUCGAGGAGUGUCAUUAGUUAAAUUUUCAUGGCCCUAAACUCGGGUGUGCAUUUACGUGAACCAAAUUCAAAUCUCAACAAUGUUAGAUAAAAUGUGUCGAGAGUCAGGGGUGCAUUUAUGUGACAUGGUUCAAGAAGUAUUUUAAAUAACGUUUAAUUUUUUCCUUAAAAAUAAUGAAAAGUGGUUAUAAAGUAUAAAAUUGCACAACAGGCUAAAACAUGUAUUAAAAUCAGAUAAUAGGCCAAUUUAUAACAAUUUCUCCCGAGUUAACAGAAUUCCUUACCCGGAUUUCUGUGUUCGUGGAUUGUAAUACAGAGUCAAUCUUUUCCAUGAUUUGGGAUUUGAACUGUGACUUGGGGCACCAUAAAAUUAUCCCAAGUGGUGAGUCUAAUCUUUUAAUAAAAUAAUCCCAUUUGAUUGCCACUUUAACUUUGAAAAAAUUCCCUUCUACGCCCUUCGCGGGGUAGGGUGUAAAAGGGAGGUGUGACAAUACAUUCAUAUGAACUAACACAUCGUAUGCCACUUCCAUUUAAUGCGUGCAACACGUGGUCUCCUACGAUUGGUUAUGCACUUCCUCAGCACCUUUGAAGGCUUUUUUCCGGCUGGAUCAAUCACGAAGUGAUAAUUUUCAUAAUGACAUUUCUAUUGUUACCUUUUUGUUUGACGGUUGCUUCUAAGUAUAAAUAUAUCCUUUGUCUUUUCUUUCACGAAAAAGUUUUCCAUAUUUUUCCAUUCAAUCCUUUCUUCAUCUUUGUACAUCUAUGCCUUCUUCAUACCCUGAUUCUCAAAAGGUUCUUAUUGUAGAUGAAUUUCGCCUUGCUCCUACCAGAAGCAUGAGAAGUUGUAGGCUGCGUAGUUUAGGGUCAGUUUCCAUUCGAGGUUAUUCUUCUCAACCUAGUCCUACUCCUCCAUCAUCUAAUAGAACUAGGGCUUCUUUUUCACAUAGGUCUUCUGCUAGAAGUAGGGAUUCCAGCGAGCCAAUUCGUGAACCUACAAUAGACGAGAUUAUCCCUGCCAAACUUUCUUUUAAUACUGAUAGAGAGUCGAUUAGAAACCAGGUCUCCUCUAUGUCCUCUCAUGAUCGUGCUGAUAUUUAUCCUUCAUAGAUACUGAAGGUUUGAUCUCUGUUGUUCGUAGAGAUUGUCAUUGGAUGUUUGAUUUCCCCAUUCUCAUCUCCAAUGUGAAUCAAAUGAUCAUAUAUUUCAAACCUAGCUUUUCUUUUGUGUACACAUAGCCAUUUACAUUAGACUAUAGACCUCCUAUUGAUCCAGUCAUUAUUGAAUUUUUCCGCUUCUUCAAUGUGUUUUUGGGAUAAAUUGUCCCUAUUGUAUGGAGGGUUGUUGCAUGUUUAAGGAAUCUGACUAAUUUGGCUCAAUUACCUUUCACCUUCUACCAUCUAAUGCAACUCUACUCUCCUAAAUUAUUCUGUCAUGGGAUUUCACUCUGGUGGCGAGGAGUAAGAGAGUUUUAUUCAUCCAGAGGACGAUAAAGAUCGUCGAAAGGGUUAGUAGGUGAAGAUAAUAUGCCCUUCCCUGAGAAUUGGAACUUUGGACGUAAUUUUUUCUUUACAAUUUUCUUUUUGUUUUUAUGAGUUUAUACCUGUGACUAUUUUACUUUCCUUUUUCAGCAACCGUAGGAAUUGUUGAAGAGAUUUCUGAUUUCUAUGGUUGGCUAGAAAAAUUGUUAACAGUUGCUCCAAUGGAAGUAAGGUCUUGGAAGUACCUUUCAAAUAGAUUUUCCUGGAAGGUUAAGACUCAUG